RNAcentral lists this non-coding RNA (21 nucleotides) under Caenorhabditis elegans. The record is from RNAcentral. Lineage: Eukaryota; Metazoa; Nematoda; Chromadorea; Rhabditida; Rhabditidae.
UGUUGUUGUUUAGAAUCUACU